GUAGGUGGCAAGCGUUGUCCGGAAUUAUUGGGCGUAAAGCGCGCGCAGGCGGUUCUUUAAGUCUGAUGUGAAAGCCCACGGCUCAACCGUGGAGGGUCAUUGGAAACUGGAGAACUUGAGUACAGAAGAGGAAAGCGGAAUUCCACGUGUAGCGGUGAAAUGCGUAGAGAUGUGGAGGAACACCAGUGGCGAAGGCGGCUUUCUGGUCUGUAACUGACGCUGAGGCGCGAAAGCGUGGGGAGCAAACAGGAUUAGAUACCCUGGUAGUCCAUGCCGUAAACGAUGAGUGCUAAGUGUUAGGGGGUUUCCGCCCCUUAGUGCUGCAGCUAACGCAUUAAGCACUCCGCCUGGGAGUACGGCCGCAAGGCUG
Molecule: ribosomal RNA, 370 nt
Filed under: uncultured organism
Description: partial 16S ribosomal RNA
Rfam family: Bacterial small subunit ribosomal RNA
Source: RNAcentral